GAGUUCAAGAACAAAAUGCAAAUUCUACGAACUUCCUGGUUCUUCCAGAGCAAAGCAGCAGACACAUUGAGAGGGCUCUGAGUAUUGGGUUCUGCUCAUUACAACGUGAGCAUAAGAAAAACUAUUACAUAAAUACAUACAAAAGAGCUCCUAAUAGUGAGACAAAAGAGCUCCUAAUAGCUCAUAAAUACAUACAAAAGAGCCAGCAGAAAGAGUGAGACAACGCCAUCUGACCUCCUAAUAGGCUCUGGAUGGACAAGAGAAUCGUUCUGCAAUCAUAUGCUGAACACCACUUAUCCUGCAACAACAAAAUUAAAGUCAUAAAAGUUGGGAUGAAGCAAAAGAAUCUGAAAUAUUUUGACAUGCAGAAAAGUAAAUGAGAAGGUGAGAAUGACAAUACAAGGCUAAUUACUUGAAGAAUGCCCAAACAAAUAUUCUCAAAUUGGUCGACAUUUGGAUGGAAGCAUCAAGCAUGUAGUCUCAAACGUGACUUGAGAAAGGAUAAUCUAGAUUAUAGUGGAAAGAGCAACCAAAGUUUGUAAGACGGACCGUCAUGGUUCCUUUGCCGCCUUAAAUUCUGUAAGUCCACGUAAAUAUGCUCCCCAUGUCAGGGAAGGCAGAUGCUCCCAGAUCUCCACCACUCAUCUAUGUUACUCCUAUAAAUCAGAGACACCAUUUAAAUACUGUAAAAAACAACUAACCGAGCACCACUAUGUCUUCUUGACAUUACAGAUUGUUAAACAUCAACUCAUGAAGAAAUGAGUGCAACACAUCAACUCCACUGCCUUACCUCAAGCAAGGCCAAUACUUUUUCAUUCCAAACGAUGCGCAACCGAAUAUAUUUGGGAUUAUAUUUGUUACAUAAAAAAUAAAGCACAGAUCAUCUAAACGGAGCAAUAAUAUCAAGAAAAAGCACAGAUCUAUUUCAAUUACGAAAUGAAAGAAAAUAAUAUUUAUACGAAACCGCGGAAAACCAAAACUAAUAUCAGAAAAGCACAGAUCAAAUCCAGUUACAAAAUGCAAAAAUAACAGAGUACCAUGUUUGUGAAUUUCAAUUCAUCCUAUUCCAUUAUAUUAUACUAUAAGCAUCCAUUAUAUUAUACUAUAAGCAGGGUAAUCCUUAGAUGGAAGUAUAUGUACUAUAUGUGUACUCACAUAAUGGAAAAAAUAAAUCAUUAACAUAAUUAAUCGAGGCUGCAACAGCAAUCUCCUUUUCUCUUUAAAUUUUAGUUCUUUUUAUGCGAUUCCACUAAACUAUCACCUUGAAUUUUGCAGUUUUUUCCCCACUAUAUAUAUUACUCCUCAUCACAGCCAGUGUUUGUCACUCACCUCCAACAAUAUAUAUGUCUCAGCGCUAAUACAAAAUCAAAAACACGAAACAACUUACACGAAUAAUGAUGAAAAUAUCAUAUUAAUCAACAAAAUCUGAAAGAACAAACCUAAAAAAUUGAGAGCCAAUUAACCAAAGAUGACCUGGAAAACAAAAAAAAAAUUUCGGAUGNUUUUUUAUGAAUCAAAUUUGACGAUAUUUAAAAAAGAAUUACUAAAAAAAGAGAAGAAAAAUAAUGAAAGAGAGAAGGAAAAAGGAUGGAAAAUAUGUAGGGAAACAACUCCUUUUUACUCCCUCCGUCCGCCAAAAGUAGACCACUUUGGUUGGGCACGAGAUUUAUAAAAUUGGUGAUGAUUUUGAUGUAGUGGAGAAAGGGUCCCACCACUUUAUGAGAUGUGUGGUUGAGAUUGAAUUUGAGGUGGGUUUUUUUUGUAAAUAAAGAGUGUUUGUAAGGAUAAAAGAUUAAAGUGGGUGGUGGGACCAUUUCCAUAAGAGGAAAGUGGUCUACUCUUUGCGGACGCUUAAUAUAGUAAAAGUGUCUACUUAUUACAUAGAUUAUUGCCCCUUGCCUAAUUUCCAAAUUAUCUACUCUAACAACAAAAUUAAUCCAAACUAUUAUCUUUAUUACGUUCUUUUGUAAAGAACAACUUGUCAUUCUUUUUUGCUUGCGCUAAUUUUUGCUCACAAAUUGAAAAUAUUGGACGCAGAAAAUCAAUUUGAAGAGAAUUAAAAUUAAAAAUUUUCAACACAAAAAGUGUUUAAAAACUCAAUAUAAUAAAAAUAUAAAGUAUAUAAUAAAAGUGCUACAAGAAAUUUUAGAUGAAGUUAUAAAGCUAGAAGCUACUUAACUUUUUAAACAAAUCCAAACAUGACCAGAUACCACAAACAUAAUCAUGGUUUGAUUACAUUUUGAUGAACAUAACACGGCUUAAUUUUUUCAGUGAAAGAAAUAACUAUCCAAGCCGAAUAUUUCCAUAGAUAGAUCAGAUGGUCUUUCUUCUUGAAGUUUAUUACUGCUCUUUUGAUUAGUUAUCUAAUGGAUAUCCAAUAUCCAUGUAAUAUUUGCGCACUGCUUUUCUGUACUCUGCAAUCAGAAUUUGUAAAAGCCACGUUUUCCAAUACCACGCACCAUUGGAUCGAGUUCAAGAAAAAAAUGCAAAUUCUACGAACUUCUUGGUUCUUCCAGAGCAAAGCAGUAGACACAUUGAGAGGGCUCUGAGUAUUGGGUUCUGCUCAUUACAACGCGAGCAUAAGAAAAACUAUUACAUAAAUACAUACAAAAGAGCUCCUAAUAGUGAGACAAAAGAGCUCCUAAUAGCUCAUAAAUACAUACAAAAGAGCCAGUAGAAAAAGUGAGACAACAACGCCAUCUGACCUCCUAAUAGGCUCUGGAUGGACAAGAGAAUCGUUCUGCAAUCAUAUGCUGAACACCACUUAUCCUGCAACAACAAAAUUCAAGUCAUAAAAGUUGGGAUGAAGCAAAAGAAUCUGAAAUAUUUUGACAUGGAUGCAGAAAAGCAAAUGAGAAGGUGAGAAUGACAAUACAAGGCUAAUUACUUGAAGAAUGCCCAAACAAAUAUUCCCAAAUUGGUCGACAUUUGAAUGGAAGCAUCAAGCAUGUAGUCUCAAACGUGACUUGAGAAAGGCUAAUCUAGAUUCUAGUGGAAAGCACAACCAAAGUUUGUAAGACGGACCGUCAUGGUUCAUUUGCCGCCUUAAAUUCUGCAAGUCCACGUAAAUAUGCUCCCCCUGUCAGGAAAGGCAGAUGCUCCCAGAUCUCCACCACUCAUCUAUGUUACUCCUAUAAAUCAGAGACACCAUUUAAAUACUGUAAAAAACAACUAACCGAGCACCACUAUGUCUUCUUGACAUUACAGAUUGUUAAACAUCAACUCAUGAAGAAAUGAGUGCAACACAUCAACUCCACUGCCUUACCUCAAGUAAGGCCAAUACUUUUUCAUUCCAAACGAUACGCAAUCGAAUAUAUUUGGGAUUAUAUUUGUUACAUAAAAUAUAAAGCACAGAUCUAAACGGUGCAAUAAUAUCAAGAAAAAGCACAGAUCUAAUUCAAUUACGAAAUGAAAGAAAAUAAUAUUUAUACGAAACCACGAAAAACCAAAACUAAUAUCAGAAAAACACAGAUCAAAUCCAAUUACAAAAUGCAAAAAUAACAGAGUACCAUGUUUGUGAAUUUCAAUUCAUCCUAUUCCAUUAUAUUAUACUAUAAGCAGGGUAAUCCUAUAAGCAUCAUUAUAUUCCAUUAUGUUAUUCCAUCAUAAUAUCUAUUCCAUUAUAUUCAUACUAUAAGUAUCCAUUAUAUUAUACUAUAAGCAGGGUAAUCCUUAGAUGGAAGUAUAUGUACUAUAUGCGUACUCACAUAAUGGAAAAAAUAAAUCAUUAACAUAAUUAAUCGAGGCUGCAACAGCAAUAUCCUUUUCUCUUUAAAUUUUAGUUCUUUUUAUGCGAUUCCACUCAACUAUCACCUCGAAUUUUGCAGUUUUUUCCCUACUAUAUAUAUAUCAGCCAGUGUUUGUCACUCACCUCCAACAAUAUAUAUUUCUCAGCACUAAUACAAAAUCAAAAACACGAAACAACUUACAUGAAUAAUGAUGAAAAUAUCAUAUUAAUCAACAAAAUCUGAAAGAACAAACCUCAAAAAUUGAGAGCCAAUUAACCAAAGAUGACCUGGAAAACAAAAAAAAGAAUUUCGGAUGGUAUGCGUGGAAACCAUUUCCCAAAAAUUUAUAGUUGAAAAGACAGGGUAUAAUUAACGAUUGAGAAGCUUAUGUUAGACUUUUUACCUUCAUUGGGGGCAUUAAUCAAUGAGAAUCAAGAGGUGAUUGAGGUAGAGUUCAUGGAAACGAUUAAGGAGAAUGGAGAAUCGAGAGGCAAAUGACAGAGAUCUUGUGAGAAGCCAGCCACCAUCAUAAUAGAAACAUUGAUUUGGAGAUGGUAAGGACCUGAUUAUUGAAUUCCAUUGAUUAUGGUGAAACGCUUUCCAUUGAUUGUGGUGAAACACAACUGAGAUUUGAGUGAGGGGAUUAUAAUGGAAAUGUUGAAGAAGAUAUUAAGGAAUUUUGAGGA
Molecule: long non-coding RNA, 4414 nt
Filed under: Salvia miltiorrhiza (redroot sage)
Lineage: Eukaryota; Viridiplantae; Streptophyta; Magnoliopsida; Lamiales; Lamiaceae
Description: long non-coding RNA (SMIL_LNC006423)
Source: RNAcentral